Molecule: ribosomal RNA, 392 nt
Filed under: uncultured bacterium
Lineage: Bacteria
Description: partial 16S ribosomal RNA
Rfam family: Bacterial small subunit ribosomal RNA
Source: RNAcentral
UGGGGAAUUUUGGACAAUGGGCGAAAGCCUGAUCCAGCAAUGCCGCGUGUGUGAAGAAGGCCUUCGGGUUGUAAAGCACUUUUGUCCGGAAAGAAAUCCUUGGCUCUAAUACAGUCGGGGGAUGACGGUACCGGAAGAAUAAGCACCGGCUAACUACGUGCCAGCAGCCGCGGUAAUAGCGUAGGGUGCAAGCGUUAAUCGGAAUUACUGGGCGUAAAGCGUGCGCAGGCGGUUUGCUAAGACCGAUGUGAAAUCCCCGGGCUCAACCUGGGAACUGCAUUGGUGACUGGCAGGCUAGAGUAUGGCAGAGGGGGGUUAGAAUUCCACGUGUAGCAGUGAAAUGCGUAGAGAUGUGGAGGAAUACCGAUGGCGAAGGCAGCCCCCCAUGGGCC